This 367-nucleotide ribosomal RNA is filed under the name fungal endophyte sp. DM125. RNAcentral describes it as "eukaryotic LSU rRNA". It matches the Rfam family "Eukaryotic large subunit ribosomal RNA", at positions 124 to 489 of the family's 3401-position model. Lineage: Eukaryota; Fungi. The record is from RNAcentral.
GGCUCUUUUAGGGUCCGCGUUGUAAUUUGUAGAAGAUGCUUCGGGUGUGGACCCGGUCUAAGUUCCUUGGAACAGGACGUCAUAGAGGGUGANAAUCCCGUAUGUGACUGGGUGCUUUCGCUCAUGUGAAGCUCUUUCGACGAGUCGAGUUGUUUGGGAAUGCAGCUCAAAAUGGGUGGUAAAUUUCAUCUAAAGCUAAAUAUUGGCCAGAGACCGAUAGCGCACAAGUAGAGUGAUCGAAAGAUGAAAAGCACUUUGNAAAGAGAGUUAAACAGUACNUGAAAUUGUUGAAAGUNAAGCGCUUGCAACCAGACUUGCUCGCUGAUGAUCAUCCGGGCUUUUGCCCGUUGCACUCGUCUGCGCUCAG